This 14732-nucleotide long non-coding RNA is filed under the name Capsicum annuum. RNAcentral describes it as "long non-coding RNA (CANN_LNC014686)". The record is from RNAcentral. Lineage: Eukaryota; Viridiplantae; Streptophyta; Magnoliopsida; Solanales; Solanaceae.
CGGCUCCUUAUAUCCAAUGCCAUGCAAUGGAUAAUUAGAUUUUCUUUUGUGGCUUGACUUAAGAUAUAGGCCUCAUUGGCCCAUGAUAGAUAUACGAAAGGAAAGAAGUUCAUGUAGGACUCGAGAGUACCCACAUCCAAAAGAAAGAAAGAAUAAAGUAAUCAAUAUAUGUGCAAAGAUCGAUAUUUAAAGAUAAAGGGUAUCAUUAAGAGAGCACUCUAGUCAAUCAGGACAAUAACAAGUUAUGGUAUAUUUAAAAAGAUUCGACUUAUCCAUAAAAGGGUAGUUGAUCUAUUUCUUGAACAAGUUUAAGGAUUAAAUCGGUUGUGACAUGAUUAGCUAAUUCUUGAGGAGAAAUGACAUAGGCCCAUGCAUAUUUCAGUUAUCCUAGUAGUAAUAAACAAAGAAGAAGAUUCAAACUUGUAACUUGACCUAUUUAAAUUACUGUAGCAAAGACCAGAGAAAAAAAAAGGCAAAAAUUAAAUUGGUAUUCUGCAAAAUCUCAUGGCCCAUAUCCAUAUCACUAUCUAUUGACCAAAUAAAUGUUUUGUUCAUUCAUUUUCAUUCAUAAUUGAAAAGUAAAAAGACUUUAUAAUUCAUAAAAAAAGAAUUAUUAUCUGUUAGCACAUCUUCAUCUAAACUUACACUAGGCAACAAAAUUUCAGCACAUGGUCAUAGAAGAAAACCAUACUUAUUUGCUUCGAGCAUCCUAGAUAUAAUUCACAGAGUUAAAAGAUCGUAAACCUCAAACCAAAGAAAGAAGAAAAAUAUCAUGCUCUCACUUGGUUGGCAAAUUAACAUAUUUUUACAAAAAGUUGGGUAUGUAUACUUGCAUUAGGCGUGGAAUAUGAUACUUAAAACUAAAAUAGUAUAAAAGUUCCUUACAAACUCACUAAGAGAUCUAAGACCACAACAAUUUCCUUGAAAAAAAAAAACUAGAACCUUUUGCCACUCCAUGGCAAGUCUUAUAGUGACCAAGUAACUCUACAUCGUGGCAAAAACAUGAACAGAAUAAGAAUGAGAUGGGUGACUCUUUACGAAAUCAAUAUUGGUAAUCUAGUAAGAUGACCAUAGCCUCAUCCCUUUUUUCUCGAUGUUAUCGACCAAAACAAAAUCCUCGGGAAUCAAACAAAUAGAACAAAGAGUUGAAAUGAACUCAAAAGGAAAAUGAAAGGUUCGAAUUUUGCAAUCCCACAACGAAGGGAACUCUGAGAUCAGGUAAACAAGAUUCAACAACCCAAAACUUAUAAAACGGAACCAAAACACGUAACCUUAAUCAUGAAACCAGGUAAACAAGAUUCCAACAGAACUUAUUAAGCACCAAAACAUAAGACUCUAACCAUUGAAUCAAGUAAACAAAAUUCCAGCAGCCCGAAACUUAUUAAACAAACCAAAAUACUAAACCUUACCCAUGAGAUCAGAUAUAAAAAGAUACCCGCAUCCUAAAAUUAUGAAACAAAUUCAAAGCACGAACUUUAAAUAGGAUCGGCUAUAAAAAGACACUAUUAGCCCUAAAACUAUUAAAACAUGAAAUUUUUACAUAAUAUUAACUAUAACAAGACACCGUCAGCUAGCAGUGAAGUGAAUCAGUGGAUUAAACCCAUGAUCAAUACCAAUGCACAGUAGUAAAUCGAAAGCUAAUUAACAAUGUUAAAAUCAAAUAAUAAAUUAUGAAAUCGAGAGAAGCAUAUGAGACUCAAGCGAUAAGCUUUAACAACUAAGCCAGCAAUUUAACAUCACACAUAAUCACACGACAAGCAAUAAUUUCAGUAAAACAUACUCAAUGGUCUUAAAGACCUCUACAACAGACAACCUCGCACGCAAGAUCAUUUAGAUUCAGAACUACAAAAGGUUGAGAUGAAGUAGACGCAAUCAAAAAUUAAAUGGAAUGAGCUAUUACCUGUCUCGAUACAGCAAAUGGGACUCGAGCCUACAAUGAAAGCUUAACCACUACUACUGGAAAGUUCUCAAACAAAAGGCUUCUUCACUCAAAACCAGCUAACUCAGAAAAUAUUUUUCCCCUUUCCAACCUCAAAAUUUCCACUCCCUAAUUUUCAAACUCUAAUUUUUGAACCCAGAUUUUUGAACCAGCCUAAAAAAAAAAAUUUCUUCAGUUUCUUUUUUCAAAAACCUAAAAUCUCUAACCCUCAAAUUUUCCAAUCCCCUUUCUUGAUCUAAAGAGGACUACUUAUAGAAGGGGAUUGAGGGUUAAAUUUUUGAAAUUCAAAAGAUGAGGGUCCUAACAAAUCGUACCCCCUAUUUGGAUUUUUCCUCAACAAAUCUGAAUAGGUGGACCAAUAACAAUUCGGGAAAAUCAAAUCAUACUCCAAACCAAUGAAAAUCAACCAGAUAGGUACGAAUUCGUACCAUGGUACCCGAGAUUAAUAGGAUUGGAACGUUGGAGAGAGCCAAUGCAAUAAUUUUUUGGAAGCUUCUAGACUUUCCUUGUACGGAUUUCACGUGGGACUCAUGAAGAAAGUGAAAACGAAAUGGUCCUGAGUCUGGUUGGUUGUUUGUCAUGAUUUGGAAUUGGGUUAUCAGGUCGAUGGGUUUGGGUUUUUCAUAGUAGUUGGAGUGGUUGGUCAUUUUUACGAGAUUGGGUACUGCUGUUUUGUUUGUUGAGUCAGAUAAAGAAGAAAGGAGUUUGGGCCGAGUUGGAUUCCUUAUUGGAUUGGGUUGUUGAUUGUAAUUGUUGUUAAAUUGGAUUGGUGGGCUGCUGACAUUAGAGAAUUGGGCCUGUGGCUGUUAAGGAAUAGAUGAAGGGAGAUUGGGCCUGAAAUUGGGGUUAUUUAAUAACCCUUAUUAAAUCUAAUUGGGUUAUUAAAUAACCCUAAUUAAAUUUAAUUAGAUUAGAAUAAUCAUAAUUAAAUUUAAUUUGAUUAAGAAUAACACAAAUUAAAUUUAAUCGGAUUAAAAUAAUCCCAAUUAAGAAAUGGUAACUGGGGAUUAAGAUUAUAAUUUAGGAAACUUAUUUAAACUCUAACCAAAUUGAAUAUCUCAUCGGUCAAUUACAUUACAAUUGGGGCCAAUUUGAUUUCAAUUAGAGUCAAAUUUAAUAAAUUGACCAAAUCAAAUUAAAAUUCGAUACGAAUUAACACCUUGUUUAAUCAUGAGCUUCUUGAUUCGAUAAAAUUGAAUAAAUAUUUUUCCAAAUAUAUUAUUUUUCAAAAUAAAUCAUAUUUAAAUCAAGAUUUAAACCAUUUGAAUUUAUUUUCAAAAUAAUCCUUGAUUAAAAUCUGAUAUUCCAUAAAAUAGUUAUUUAAGUAAUAAAAUUACAUAAUUUCGUAUAAUUGAAUACGAUAAUGUAUAAUCGUCACUUAAAAUGACAAACUUACCCUGAUGAAUUUUUUUGAAAAGUUUCUAUUCAGACGAAAUAAAUAUUUCAUUUUCUUAAAAAUCGAAGAAGCUCAAAAUUAAACUUGGUUGUAGAGGGAAAAAAUUAGGUGUCAACAAUUACUCCCUCCCUUUGGGUAGGAUGGAUGCAAGUAAUCCUGGGCAAAGGGAGGUUGACGUUCCUAAUUUUUGUCCGACCAUAAAUUUGUAUCUAAGAGAGGUUGGUUUUCCGCACGAGUUUCAUGGAGUUAUGGCCAAACCUCGGUAUCAGAUUUCCUAUACAUCUCAAGUUUCAUGAGAAUUUGGGCGACUUGUAGUUCAUAAAGCUUGAUUGCAAGAACGAUUUUCAAGAAAAUUUCACAAGCUAUCUCAGUUUUAAAGUUUUUGAUAAAACUGAAAAGCAGGGAAAUGGAGGGAUUUGGGGGGGAGGUUGGAAUGUAGUCGAGUUUUCUACAUAGAUCUCAGCCUACAUAUCCUCGAGACUCAGGAAAUCAGACUGCUUGUAGUUUGACUCAAUCGGUAAAAAAGAUAGUCUUUUAUUUUAGACGAUCUUUGGCUCAAGAUGAGUGACAAGUUGAUCGAGUUUUGGAAAAGAGGCUUAUAACUUCUUAACCAUGAACGUGGAGAUCUUCACAUCCAUAGUUAAGAAUUUAUCUGGACAUAAUUUCCAGACUCUGGGUGUGUUGUCACUCGGAUUUGAAAAAAGAGAAGUUUACCCUCGGUAUGAGUUUAGAAAUAUCUCAAAGGUGAAGCGGAAACUAGAAUAUCCCAAAAAUACCCACAUGCCUUCUAAUAGGGGUGUGGUUAGAUGGUGGUGGUGAUCAUUCUUUAGCUCGCAUCCAGAGAGUUUAAUGUCCCUCUCUAGACUAUGUCCUAUUUUGCUGCUAAGAAAGAGUUCCACAUUAUGUUGCGUCCUUUUUGGAGUCGUCCGCACCUGUGGGUUUGAUUUGAUAUUUUUAUCCUCUUAGAUGCUCUCGACAAUAUAUCAAACAAAAUUGUUAGUGCUAAACAUAAUUCACGAAAAAGGCAUAUAGUUUUUUACCAUAUCUCCAUGUGAGUUGUUGCCUAAAAAGUGAAGUCAUCCUUUCAUGUAACUAUUUGGAAUGAAAUAAAUGGCAACGACAAACACAACAACCAUCUUGGUUGUUGUAUAAUUAUGACAUUUGUCGGUUGAAUAUGUCUUCAAAGUGGGGCGUCCCUUUUGGACACCGAUGACACUUUAUGCAGAACGAUCCCUGCAAUCAUGUAAUCUUGUGCUAGUGUGGCAACCCUUUUGGUUACCUAUAUCACUUGUUGUAUGUAGAAUGAUAACCUCUCAAGUUAUAGCCGAUGAUUUAUAAAUUUCCCUUAAAUUGUCAAUCUUUGGAUAAUCUUGCGCAUUAUUUGAUGUUGGAUACUAGGCGACUUACAGAUAUCCUUUGAAUUGCUAUCUUUUAGGAAAUCCUGCACAUUAUCCAACAUUGGAUAAGAGAUGGCUUACAAGUAUCCCUCCAAUCGCUUGCUUUCAGGUGUUCCUGCACAUCAUCCGAUCUUGGAUACAAUAUGACUUAUAGAUAUCUCUCAAAUUGUUAGUCCUUGGGUAAUCCUACAAAUAAUCGAUCUUGGAUAUGAUGCGGCUUAUAGAGAAUCGUUGAACGUAUCAAUUUGAUAAUUUUGCAUAUUCUUCAGUAAGGAUUUAGUUGCGACUUAUGGAUAACCUUCAGACUAUCAAUUUUUGGGUGAUCUUGCACACUAUCCAGUUAAGAUGUUGUUGUGGCUUACAGAUAACCUACAGACUAUCAAUUCAUAGGUUAUCUUGCACACUAUCCUAUUUCAAAUAAUAUAACUUAUAGAUGACCCUCAAAUUAUCAAUUUCUAGGAAAUCUCAUAUAUCGUUUGUCUUUAGACACCAACUUGAAGGCGUCCCUUCAAAUCGUGUGCUCUUGAUGCAUUCAGAUGCUAAUUCAUAAAAUGAUGAGAUAUCCUCGAUGCCAGCAUUUAUGUCUAGCGUGUCAAUAGAUAUUAAAUACUUAUGAUAUCCUCGAUGCCAGCAUUUAUGUCUCGCGUGUCAACAGAUAUGAACUGAUGAUGAUGUCCUCGAUGCCAGCAUUUAUGUCUUGCGUGUCAACAGAUAUAAAAUGUCCUUCUCAACAAAUGAUAUGAAUGGCCCUCUUGGAAAUGAUAUGAAUGGCCCUCUUGAAAAUGAUAUGAAAUGGCCCUCUUGACAAUGAUAUGCAAUGGACCUCUUGGCAAUGAUAUGCAAUGGCCCUAUUGGCAAUGAUAUGCAAUGGCCCUCUUAGCAAUGAUAUGUAAUGGACCUCUUGGAAAUGAUAUGAAAUGGCCCUCUUGGCAAUGAUAUGCAAUGGCCCUCUUGGAAAUGAUAUGCAAUAGCCCUCUUGGCAAUGAUAUAAAAUGACCCUCUUGGCAAUGAUAUGCAAUGGCCCUCUUGAAAAUGAUAUGAAAUAGCCCUCUUGGAAAUGAUAUGAAAUGGCCAUCUUGGCAAUGAUAUGAAAUGGCCCUCUUGGUGAUUUAAAAAUAGUUUCACUUGAGUUCAUUUGUCAGCGUCUUGCUUUCUACAUGUACCUGUACUCAAGGUAGACGAUUAGUAGACACAAAGUCUCUUUUGCUAGCGACUAUUUUUUAGAAAAUUCUAAAUACAAUAUUUGUAAAAAAAACAAGACACUUUUGUUUGUCCUCCAUGAUCUCAAGAAAUAAUAUGGACAAUUCAAAAGGUCCUUAAUAAAUGGGUAUUAAACCUAUUUUUAGGGCUGCCCAAAAAAUACCGUUCUUCAGCAUUACUGCUCUGGUGUGGCUCCCAAUUUGCUCAGGGAUUUUUGAAAGAGACUCUCAUUUUUGUAUAUUGGUCCCUGCAUCCACAGAAAAAUAAUUAGUUUGAGUGAAACUACUCCGUGUUGACCUUCUUUGAUUCUCCAUUUUGCUCCUCGCUAUCUUUUAGGUGCCUCGUCACAUUGGUACCUCCACUCUGGGUCCUUGCUCCCAUAGACGCCCAGGCAAUCACUAAGUAAAAGUUUUGUAAGGAUUUUUCUUUUUCAAAAGUAGUCUUAUUUUUAGCAAAUAGUUUCAAAAGUAUCUGUAAAAGCUUUAGACAAUUUCUGCCGGUCAUGUCAUGUACUAGCUCAACGAACGUCUUUCUCGUGGUUUUGACUAUCUGAUGAAUGAUUUCCAAAACUCAUGAUCAUUGUUGGAGGGUUCGUCAAAUAGUUUUUGUCAUAGCCAGAAAUUAAGUCUACCUAGACUUUUUCCCAGUUGGUGUCUUCAAAAGCUUGGUUUUAACCUCUGGUGCCGGAGAAUUUGAAAUAUAUUCAAGUAUUUGGUGGAAAUUUUAAGCCCUCCCUCAAAAUUUCUGCCCCAGUUUAAAGUAGUUUGAGAUGAUAUCAUCUCGAGCGGAUCUGAAGUCUUUGCUGAUCUUCAUUGUCUUUGUUGGAUGUUGAUCUUUUCUUGUGAAUUUUCAAGAUUUCUUCUCGAAAAUUCUGCCCCAGUUUCCAUUUCCUGGGGUUAAUGACCAAGUCGUUCGGGCGCCUACGUAUCCCGUUGAAGCAGGAAUUAAUUCAAUCAUAGUUCAAGACUACGCUAAGGAUAUAUAGAAAAAUCUAAUGGGUUGAUCGAAGCUAACAUAGGCUGCCUACGUAUCCCUUUUGUUGGGAAUUCAGGUCAUCACGUAGUUCAUACAUAAAAAGAAAGGAUAAAUUUUCCCAAGGGGUUGACCGAAGCCGACAUAGGCCGCCUACGUAUCCCUUUCUUGGGAAUUCAAGUCAAACGUAGUUCGUACAUAAAAAUAAAGGGGUUCUAGGAAACUACACACUAGAAAAAAACAUUAUUAGAAAGGCGAUUAAAAGUAAACUAAGGAAACAAAAAAGCUAUAACAUCUUUCAAGCAGAACAUCUCUUUAGCGCAUCAGAAUUGAUUGGUUUGGUCCACUCUUGACCAUCUAUCUCAAGUAGGAUUAGGGCUUCUCCAGGUUGGGCUUCUUUUGAUUUUCACAUUCCUCUAUAUCUACUACUAGCUACUCCUCAUCACCUUUUCUGUUCAUCAUUAUUUCCUUUGCCUUAUUCGUCUAACCCUUGACAUGACAUGACAUUGGUAGGUUUUUAAAUUAUUGCUAUCAAAAUAAAUCAUGCUACAUAAUUAUAUUUUUUAAAAAAAAACUUCUUAAAUAAAGGGAGGCCUUUGGGAAAAUAAAUAAAAACUAUGGCUCAUGACCCACACAAAUAUGGGCCUAUGCCUUUUGAAAGUUGUAAAACACGAAAUAAAAAUUUGAGACAUAAAAGGGUGGAUCACGGGACCUCCUCUAGAUCAUUACCGAUUUUAAAAACUAUUAGUAAUUGUCCUUUCACCUACCACAAUGGAUGACGAGUUAUGAGUGGAGUGGAGGUCCAGUUUUGCAAGGCCUCCCCUGAUGCAGUCUUCUUUACCCCACCGGACUCUGGGAAAUCAUCUAGUAGAGCAUUGUAUCCUUUGAACAGAUCUCCUAUCCCAUCCUUAAGACCAUCAUCGUUUGACAUCUCAUGUACGGGAAAUGACUGGUACAAGAGCAGCAGGGGCCUAAACAGACUCUCCUUUGAAUUAUCUCCGAUCUCAUCUUUCUUUCUUGGUUGGUACUCUAUUCCAUGCUUAAAACCUUUUUCUGGGACCAUAACAGGUUCGAUAAUUCUUUCCAAAUCCUUACUUAAGGUGGCCAUGACUUUCUCUAUCUUCUUCACCUCUUUUGUUCUUUUGGGUCCUUCUGAAUUUACCUUAGUGAUGGUCUUGCUAGACAUCCAGUCACUCUCUAUUUCAAUCAUGUUAACAGUAGGUCCCCCAUUGUUAGGCAAUGGAUUACUGUUAAUAUUUGGUAUCGACGACUGAAGCAUGAUAACUUUCUGAUCAAUCAAAUAUUGGAUCUUAUAUUUAAAGUUAAUACAAUCCUCGAUACUGUGCCCCACUGCUCUUGAAUGAUAGGCAUAAUUUUGAUCGAGAUGAUAAAAUUGAGAGUUGGUAUUGAUAGUCUUUGGCUGGAUUGGUUGCAAAUAACCAGCUUUUAUCAAUCUUCCAAAGAGCUGAGUACGCCUUUCAGCUAGCGGCGUGAAGUUUCGGGGAGGUUUCUUUUCAAAGUUUGGACGUGGAGGGUUAUAAUGGUUAUGAUCUAUAGGCGGAGGUACUUGAUGAUAAUUUGGAGACGUUUGGACGUUUGUUUGGUUAUUUAGAAAUUAGCUUGAGUAUAAGGCUGAUAAUUUGGCUGUGGAACUUGGCACUAGGGUAAAAUAUUUUGAAUUGAAGCUUGACAUUGGGGUUGAGCGUAGAAUACAAGCUGAAAACUUGGUGAUGAUGAGGAAAGAAUAUUCCUAGGCUUGAAUUUCCUCUUUAACUUAUCAACAGAAUUAGUAGAGACCGCAGUCGCAUCCUCUCUUUUCUUCUUUGAGAAUGCAGAAAAUUCAGAUGAUGUUGGGAUUUUGGUAAUUUUUCCUGUUCGAAUGCCUUCCUCUAACGAUUCCCUAUUCUUUACUAAAUUUCCGAAAGUUGCUCGGACCUCGGAUACCAUCCUGGUAUAAAAUUCUCCUUCCUAUGCAUUAGAGAAAACCGAUACCAUUUCUUCCUCAGACAUGGGAGGUUGUACUUUAGCAGCUUCUUUUCUCCAAUUAAAUGUGUAGUCUCAAAAACACUCAUUAUUCUUCUAUUUGAUCCGGUCUAGUGAGUAUCGAUCAGGGACUAUCUCAAUGUUAAAUGUGAACCUGCCAAUGAAACCCUUGGCCAAUGCUUUCCAACCAGUCCAUCUUUUCAGUUCCUGAGACAUGAACCAUUUUAAGGCUUCGCCACUUAAACUCCGGCUGAACAAACGUAUCAAUAAUGCUUUAUUUUUCCCUACCCUCACCAUUUGAUCACAAUACCUUCUCAGAUGGGUCAUUGGAUUUUCGAUGCCAUCGAAUACUUCAAAUUUAGGGACCUUAUACCCUUCUGGUAGAUCUAUUCCAGGAUGAACACAUAAAUCAUCAUACCCUAAACCGUCGUGGUUCCUCGCUCCAUAAGAUUCUUUGAUCCUUAUAAUCUCUUUAUUCAUAGCUAGCAACUUCAGUUCAUGCUCGAUCCUCCACUCUUUUUCCUUAUCCUCGUAAUGGUCCAUCUCAGGAUUAGGAAGGGAAUUAUAGAUGUCAGGGGAUAUGAUGGCAUGAGGAGGAUUUGGAAGGGAGGCUUGAUUUUGCGGAUGAAAGAAAGUUGGUUGAUAGGUGGGGAGGACAUUUUGGAAAUUGGAAAGGUUUUGUAGAAUUUGUGAGUAGCUUGGUGGAAUCUGAGAAGGAUUUUGCAAAUUUAGAAAUGAAUUUGGUGGAUUUGGGGAUAGAUUUGUUGGAGUUUGCGGGUUUGGGAGUGAAUCUUGUGGAUUUGGGAAUGAAUUUUCGUGAUUUGAAAAUAUGUUCUGGGGAUUUAGGAAUAGAUUCGGAGAUGGGUUUUAUGGGGUUAGAGAUGAAUUUUAUGGAUGGUAGGCAUCUGGAUUAUUUUUGCGAAUGGUGUUUUGGAAAAAUGGAGGAGCGGGGACGGACGAUAUAUUAUUUGGCUAAUUCCCAAGAAUAAGUGUACUGAGGGGAGGAAUUUAGAGUGGAGUCUCAUGUCCUCCUGGAGCAGGGGCAUUGACAGUGAUAGCUAGGUUAGCCAAAUCUCGAGUGCGAUUUAUUUCCUCAUGAAGCAUUUCUAACUUUCUUGCGAGUUCCGCAAUCAUCUCACUCUGUUCCGCUAUUACAUUGUCUCUGAUAGUCAAUGUGUUUUCUUUGUCAUUUCCAGUCAUUUUUGAAUGAUGGUCAGAGGAUGGAAUUUUGUGCGCUUUUCACCGGGUGAAGUAGGAAUGUUCUGCCAGCUUAUUUCAACAUGGAGUAGUUUUCUAUUAUCUGUAAAGUAAAACAACUCAAAGGAAAACGUGUUAGUUUCCACAUGUGAUAAACAAUGCAAAAACAUGACAAGAAAUAGCCACGUAGAGUCGUUUAUGUCAUAGUCAAAUUCAUUCAUAGGAGCAUAGCAGAUAAACUUGCCUUUGAUCCAAACAAAUGCACAUAAGCACAUAAUACAGUUAUAUCACAUAAAAACAUUAUAAUAAUGUGUAUCCUAACUGGGGUGACCCUUUUGAGCCAAGGGUUUGGGCCUAACGAUUUUUUAAGAAAAAUAUAUGCUUGCUUAAGGUCAAUCCAUUAUCCCCCAACUAUUAUAGACACUAAAAUGGCAUAAAUGCCUACAAAAGAUAACCAAAAAAGGAUACAAUCUUUAGGGAAAAGGGAAAUAACAUGAAAUAAAACACGUUCCCACACACAGGGGAUACAAAUACUAAUUCCUAAGUGCUUCUUCUAUUAGCCUUUACCUUCUUAGCUUCAUCCAUUUCCUAUAUUGGUGAUGUCCCUUGACGUUCAAACUGUGCCUUAGAUACAACCUCCCAAAUUGAUCAAUUUCUUGCUUAACUUGCUCCAAUUCUUCUUACGAAGUAAGCAAAUCAAGCUUUUUCCCGACUCUCAAAGGAUAAUAGAUUGAAUUAGACAGGCAUACCUUUCUUCAACACAUAAAUAUGGUUCGUCUAUAAUUGACUCGAGGUCAAUAGACGCAGGGUAGAUUUUCUAAUGGGCCCAAUACCCCGUUCGACUAUUGGGUCAUCCUAGGCUCAUGCCUAAAAUAGGAUUUUGAUUUCGUUCUAUCCUAGGUGUUUAGAGUGGGUUUGAACACUAGUUCUCAAGUGGGCAACUUGAGUUUUAAAAUAUGAACAGCCAUCAGACGACUCACGUGCUAAUAAGCCGUUCGUAUUUCCAACACAUUUUUGGAAUUAAACAACAGGGGUCGGUACUCUACGAAACCACCAAAACAGUUUAAAUAAUGCAAGAAUAUGUCAUGAGAUGUGAUAGUUAAACUUUAAAGAAUCGAAACAUAUAAACACAUAAACAGUUAAUCAAAAGAGGAAAUCAAAUAUUUGGUUAGAACCUAAUUUCAAAAUUCCCCAGCAGAGUUGCCAUUUCUGUUUUGCAGAAAUUUUGACUUUUGAAAGAGUCACCACUUAAAUUUGAAAAGGAAUUAAGAAACCUUUAGAGAUCUACUUCAAACGAUUCAAAAUAGGAAAAUCAUUUUCAGUUAGAAAUUCUAGAUAAGUGGUUCCUAUUAACGUUUUAGGAAGGUGUUAGGCACCUAAAACGUCCGCUAACUUGCAGUUAUCCGAUCUGUUUGAAAGAAUUCUUUUGAUUAACUUUGGAAAAUCGGUUUGUUUGGAAAAGUAAUUGAUUAAGGAAAAGGUUUUCGCUAAAUCAGUUUUUUAGCGACUUAGUUAGGGAUUUAACUAGGUUCGCAAAGAAACACGUUAACAAGUAAACGAAAGGAAAAGGGGAAAAAGCGGGGAAGUAGUGAUUUAGGCUUUUAAGCCCAAACCGUCGACCCUGCUCUAAUCUAGUUGGGUUUUCGACCCAUUUUCACCUGUCCUAAUUUUAUGUUUUUGAGCCUUUAGCUCGAGUCUCGCUUCACCUGUAUUAAGUACAACUUUGGAUUCGAGGCCCAAAUGAAUAAAUAAGAAAAUAAAUAAAUAAAUAAAUAAAUAAAUAAAUAAAUAAAUAAAGACGACAAUAAGUAAAUAGACAAAAUAACAAAUGAGACUUUUGGGUCUCGUAGCUGCUUCAAAUGAUAGGACUUUAAUCAAUUUUCUUCUUCCGACUCCUUAUAUCUAAUGCCAUGCAAUGGAUACUUGGAUUUUCUUUCAUGGCUUGACUUAAGAUAUAGGCCUCAUUGGCCCAUGAUAGAUAUGCGAAAGGAAAGAAGGAGAGUACCCACAUGCGAAAGUAAGAAAGAAUAAAGUAAUCAAUAUAUGUGCAAAGAUCGAUAUUUAAAGAUAAAGGGUAUCAUUAAGAGAGCACUCUAGUCAAUCAGGACAAUAAUAAGUUAUGGUAUAUUAAAAAAAAUUCGACUUAUCCAUAAAAGGGUAGUUGAUCUAUUUCUUGAACAAGUUUAAGGAUUAAAUCGGUUGUGACAUGAUUAGCUAAUUCUUGAGGAGAAAUGACAUAGGCCCAUGCAUAUUUCAGUUAUCCUAGUAGUAAUAAACAAAGAAGAAGAUUCAAACUUGUAACUUGACCUAUUUAAAUUAUUGUAGCAAAGACCAGAGAAAAAAAAAGGCAAAAAUUAAAUUGGUAUUCUGCAAAAUCUCAUGGCCCAUAUCCAUAUCACUAUCUAUUGACCAAAUAAAUGUUUUGUUCAUUCAUUUUCAUUCAUAAUUGAAAAGUAAAACGACUUUAUAAUUAAUAAAAAAAAAAAUAUAUUAUCUGUUAGCACAUCUUCAUCUGAACUUACACUAGGCAACAAAAUUUUAGCACAUGGUCAUAGAACAAAACCAUACUUAUUUUCUUCGAGGAUGCUAGAUAUAAUUCACAGAGUUACAAGAUCAUAAACCUCAAACCAAAGAAAGAAGAAAAAUAUCACACUCUCACUUGAUUGGCAAAUUAACAUGUUUUUACAAGAAGUUGGGUAUGUAUACUUGCAUUAGGCGUGGAAUAUGAUACUUAAAACUAAAAUAGUAUAAAAGUUCCUUACAAACUCACUAACAUGUCUAAGACCACAACAAUUUCCUUGAAAAAAAAAACUAGAACCUUUUGCCACUCCAUGGCAAGUCUAAUAGUGACCAAUUAAUUCUACAUCGUGGCAAGAAUAUGAACAAAAUAAGAAUGAGACAGGUGACUCUUUACGAAAUCAAUAUUGGUAAUCUAGUAAGAUGAACAUAGCCUCAUCCCUCCUUUCUCGAUGUUAUCGAUCAAGAAAAAAAUCCUCGGGAAUCAAACAAAUAGAACACUGACUUGAAAUGAACUCAAAAGGGAAAUGAAAGGUUCGAAUUUUGCAAUCCCACAAUGAAGGAAACUCUUAGAUAAGGUAAACAAGAUUCAGCAACCCAAAACUUAUAAAACAGAACCGAAACACGAAACCUUAACCGUGAAACCAGGUAAACAAGAUUUCAAUAGAACUUAUUAAGCACCAAAACACGAGACUCUAACCAUUGAAUCAAGUAAACAAAAUUCCAGCAGCCCAAAACGUAUUAAACAAACCAAAAUACUAAACCUUACCUAUGAGAUCAGAUAUAACAAGAUACCCGCAUCCUGAAACUAUGAAACAAAUUCAAAGCACGAACUUUAAAUAGGAUCGGCUAUAACAAGACAUAUUAGCCCUAAAACUAUUAAAACAUGAAACUUUUACGUAAUAUUAACUAUAACAAGACACCGUCAGCUAGCCAGUGAAGUGAAUCGGUGGAUUAAACCCACGAUUAAUACCAAUGCACAGCAGCAAAUUGAAAGCUAAUUAGCAAUGUUAAAAUCAAAUAACAGAUUACGAAAUCAAGACAAGCAUAUGAGACUCAAGAAAUAAUUUUUAACAACUAAGCCGGCAAUUUGACAUCACACAUAAUCACACGACAAGCAACAAUUUCAGCAAAACAUACUCUAUGUUCUUAAAAACCUCUACAACAGACAACCCCGCACGCAAGAUCAUUUAGAUUUAGAACUCUAGAAGGUUGAGAUAAAGUAGACGCAAUCAAAAAUUAAACGGGAUGAGCUAUUACCUAUCUCGAUGCAGCAAACGGGACUCGAGCCUACAAUGAAAGCUUAACCACCACUACUGGAAAGUUCUCAAAGAAAACACUUCUUCACUAGAAACCAGCUAGCUCAGAAAAUAUUUUUCCCCUUUCCGACCCCAAAAUUUUCACUCUCCAAUUUUGAGACUCUAAUUUUUGAAUCCAGAUUUUUGAACUAGCCUCAAAAAAAAAUUCUUCAGUUUCUUUUUUCAAAAACCUAAAAUCUCUAACCCUCAAAUUUUCCAAUCCCCUUUCUUGCUCUAAAGAGGACUACUUAUAGAAGGGGGUUGAGGGUUAAAUUUUUGAAUUUCAAAAGAUGAGGGUCCUAACAAAUCAUACCCCCUAUUUGGAUUUUUCCUCAACAAAUCCGAAUAGGUGGACCAAUAACAAUUCGGAAAAAUCAAAUCAUACUCCAAACCAAUGAAAAUCAACCAGAUAGGUAUGAAUUCGUACCAUGGUACCCGAGAUUAAUAGGAUUGGAACGUUGGAGAGAGCCAAUGCAAUAAUUUUUUGGAAGCUUCUAGACUUUCCUUGUACGGAUUUUGCGUGGGACUCGUGAAGAAAGUGAAAACGAAAUGGUCCUGAGUCUGAUUGGUUGGUUGUCAUGAUUUGGAAUCGGGUUAUCGGGUCGAUGGGUUCGGGUUUUUCAUAGUUGUUGGAGUGGUUGGUCGUUUUUGCGAGAUUGGGUACUGUUGUUUUGUUUGUUGAGUCAGAUAAAGAGGAAAGGUGUUUGGGCCGAGUUGGAUUCCUUAUUGGAUUGGGUUGUUGAUUAUAAUUGUUGUUAAAUUGGAUUGGUGGGCUGCUGACAUUAGAGAAUUGGGCCUGAAGCUGUUAAGGAAUAGAUGAAGGAAGAUUGGGC